RNAcentral lists this ribosomal RNA (459 nucleotides) under uncultured bacterium. Its description in RNAcentral is "partial 16S ribosomal RNA". It matches the Rfam family "Bacterial small subunit ribosomal RNA", at positions 338 to 795 of the family's 1533-position model. The record is from RNAcentral.
CCUACGGGUGGCAGCAGUGAGGAAUAUUGGUCAAUGGUCGGGAGACUGAACCAGCCAAGCCGCGUGAGGGAGGAAGGUACAGAGUAUCGUAAACCUCUUUUGUCAGGGAACAAAGGCGGGGACGUGUCCCCGGAUGAGUGUACCUGAAGAAAAAGCAUCGGCUAACUCCGUGCCAGCAGCCGCGGUAAUACGGAGGAUGCGAGCGUUAUCCGGAUUUAUUGGGUUUAAAGGGUGCGCAGGCGGUCUGUUAAGUCAGCGGUGAAAGCCCGGGGCUCAACCCCGGCCCGCCGUUGAAACUGGCAGUCUCGAGUUGGAGAGAAGUAUGCGGAAUGCGCGGUGUAGCGGUGAAAUGCAUAGAUAUCGCGCAGAACUCCGAUUGCGAAGGCAGCAUGCCGGCUCCACACUGACGCUGAGGCACGAAAGCGUGGGUAUCGAACAGGAUUAGAUACCCCAUUAGUC